CAACAACCAUUUCAACACCUAAGGCACCAAACUAUUAGUAGCCAAUCUCUAACCCCAAUUGUAAUCAAAAUCGAACAUGCUCUAAGCCUUACCAUGAUUAAUUCCUUGCAUGACCAAAUCAGCAGCUCUCUUCCUCUCCAAAACUUGUUGUUGUAGAUCCCCAAAUCUCAUGCAUAUGCCCCAAAAUCGACGAAGACACAGUACUCCACACCUCACAGAUACCAAAACAGCUGAUAAUCCAGUUCAGUACAGAGGCUUCGACUAAGAAAAGGAAGACGGGGUUACCUAUCAAAUACUGAGAGCGGCGGAGCUAGGGUGGAGCCAUGGCGGCUCUAAUCGGAACUAGAGAUCUGGACCGGCCUCGCCUCGCCGUGCACAGUUAUAAAAGAGAGAAGAGAGAUUGAAUCAUUUGAGAGAUUGAAUCGAUUUGAGAGAAGAGUGAGAAAGCUAAGUGAGCGACAGAGUUGAGAGAGAGGGCGAGAGUCUCGAUCUGUUUGAGAGUGAGAGUUGAGAGUCGAUCUGUUUGGUGGGUUUAGGGUGAAUGAAUGCGAGGGAGAGAGAGACAUCGAUAUGAAUGCGAGAGAGUGAGAGUGUGAGACUAGCGUUUAGGGUUGGUGGGUAUGUUAUUAAAUUUGUCUAACUUUUUCACACAACAGAAUAUAUACUCGGAGGGAAACUUUGGAGCCAAAACUAUUUUGACAUAGCACACCAAAUCGAUAGAGGCAAACUUUGGAGCCAAAACGACUUUGGCAUGCCACCAGAUUUUCCAGUCACAUAACAAAAUGUUUUAAACUGUUGUAUAUAUUUUCUAAACUUGCACUAGGUAUUGCCUAGUAUAAAUUGUAACAACAUCAUACAACAAAAAAAUAAAAGUCUAUUGUCCAAACAUUUUGCAUCUUGCACGACUUUCAAUUUGGUGAUGGGGGAAUCCUUCCGUCAAAAUUUUCAUAAACCAUACAACAUAAAAUUAGCAUCAUUGUUGUGUUUUGAACUCUUGAAAUAUAACCUGACAAUUUUGUGUCAUCAAACAACAAAACUUUGUAACUUUACGUUAUAUAUAACAGUUCACUUCAUCAGACAAGUAAGGAAGCCUAAAAGAUUGUCUGAUGAGUGUUGUCUGAUAACGUUUUUGUAGUAGUGUAUUUUCAUCAGGUUAUUAUCAAGUCAUACAUUACAGCCAAGUGACCUAGGUCACAAUAUCAUACAUUAAGUUACAGAGUCACUUGCAACUAAAUAUACAGAUCAUUAUUUUGGAGGAAUAUUAGGGGAUUUAUUUUUGUCAUUGAAGUAAACGUUUUGCAAUUUUUAUAUCAUUAAUAGAGAUAUGUAAAUGUAAACUGAAAUCUUUCAAGAUUUCUAUGUCAAAAAGCUGAUGAAUAUCCAUUUACAUUUGUCUAUUACAGUGGGAUAUGAUGUCACAUGAGAAAGAUACAAAGGAAAUUGCUUAUAUCGCAACUGGGGAUCAUCCAGGAAAUCGCGUUUCGAUAAUUGAAGUAGAAAAUGUAAGUCCUUAUUUAUCCACUGGAGAAGGCCAAUGUCCUUUUCUAUCAGCAAGAGUGGGACUUGACAAUUCUCAGUUUUCGUUCUUUUAACUUUGCAGGGAGCAACGAAGGAGAUUGAAAUAUUCUACUUGCAGGAGAGUUACACAGACUCAAAUGGCUCCUACGUAGUUUACGCACCAAUUGACCAGUUCGCCAUGUCUGCUCUGUUGGAUGGCUCGAACCCCGAUGAGUUUGCUAUCCUUGCAU
This 1748-nucleotide long non-coding RNA is filed under the name Fragaria vesca (wild strawberry). Its description in RNAcentral is "long non-coding RNA (FVES_LNC001349)". The record is from RNAcentral. Lineage: Eukaryota; Viridiplantae; Streptophyta; Magnoliopsida; Rosales; Rosaceae.